Solanum pennellii is the source of this 340-nucleotide long non-coding RNA. RefSeq lists it as uncharacterized. The transcript is spliced from 2 exons. The record is from RefSeq and is a predicted model, not a curated record. NCBI's taxonomy places the organism in Eukaryota, Viridiplantae, Streptophyta, Magnoliopsida, Solanales, Solanaceae.
UUGCUGCACAUCAAUUCCCAUUGCAAGAGUAAGAAACAAGCCCAUUAGUAUGAAAAGUAAUUCAAAUUUUAGUAGCAUAACAUGAUAACUUUCUGCUUGCGCCUAUAACUAACGUAGUUAUGCACCAUAACCGAAAGUACACAUGUAAAGUUGAAGGUGAUAGAGUUGGCUUUUCACAAUGUUAUAAUGGUUGUAGACAAGACAAGACGACUUCAAGAAGGAUGAAUUCAUUUCAAGCAAUACUGAGCAAUUUGUUUGUUCGUUGAAACACUACGUAUUUGUCAGUGCAUUGGAGCGACACAAACUCAAGGAGGAAAUCGCUAGUUAAAUGGCCAAACUA